AUGGUGACGAACUCCUCUGCGGCCUCGGUUCGGCUGAUGCUGAUCCUCCUUGUUUUGCUGGUUUUCCUUAGCGGUAUCCUCGCACGUGGACCGUCCACUUGCGUCAACAACCCGGCGGUUCAGCGAGACUGCCCGCCGAUCCGUGGUGGCCGCUGA
Molecule: ribosomal RNA, 156 nt
Filed under: Triticum aestivum (bread wheat)
Lineage: Eukaryota; Viridiplantae; Streptophyta; Magnoliopsida; Poales; Poaceae
Description: partial small subunit ribosomal RNA
Source: RNAcentral